Molecule: non-coding RNA, 82 nt
Organism: Entophlyctis helioformis
Lineage: Eukaryota; Fungi; Chytridiomycota; Chytridiomycetes; Chytridiales; Chytriomycetaceae
Source: the annotation of a GenBank genome assembly
GUCAAGAUGGCCGAGUGGUUAAGGCGCUGCACUCGAAAUGCAGUCUCCUCUGGAGGCGUAGGUUCAAAUCCUGCUCUUGACG